AUUCUUUGCCCCAGGGGUACAGGUCUGUGAACCAGCAGGCUUACGCAGUUCACAGCACUCACCAUAGCACAUACCCUCCCCAAUGUCCAUAAUGCAACCAUCCUCUCCAGGAAAUAAGUUCAUUUCUUACAGACAUCUCCUCCUUUUUUGGGCCAGCAGCUUCUGAGGCCUGUUGUUCUCAAGGCCCAGGAAGGAGCACAAGAGAACAAGAUCACUUGUACCAUUCUAUUGCAUUCUGUUUGCUAAUAUCUCAUUGGCCAAAAUAAGUCACAUGGCCAAGCCCAAAUCAAGGUAUGGUGACCUACACUCACAUGCUAUAUCACAGGUGUGAAGUGUACUGUUAUUUUAGGGGAUGAAAGGAUUGACAUGAAUAAUAUAAUCCUUUGAAUAAGGUCUUUAGGUGACUUGCUUCCUCUUUGAAGAAAAAAAAACAACAACAACAACCAAGAGCAGCAAAAUAGUUUAUAAAAAUUGACAAUAGAUCUGAGUAUAAAGAUGAAUUACUUUUGCUAAAACCUCUAGGUAACUCUUUUCCUCCAGAAUCAGGUUGGAAUUUAUACAUGAAACUUGAAAUCUUGGCAGUAUAUAGAUCUACUGGUCCUUGUUUUAUCUUUUAUAUUAUUUAGAAAUGUUUAAUUUCUCAGUAUAUGUAGAUAUUUGGUUUGCACAGGCUUAUUUGUUACUGAUUUCUUGCUGAAUUGCAUUUUCAGUCAGUAAACAUGAUGUCUAUUACACCACUUCUUUAAAAAUUGUUAAGACUUGGUUUCUGAACAAGCAUGUGGUUGAUAUUUGUAAAUGUUUCAUUUGUGCUUGAGAAGAAUGUAUGUUCUGUAAUUGUU
RNAcentral lists this long non-coding RNA (839 nucleotides) under Mustela putorius furo (domestic ferret). RNAcentral describes it as "lncRNA (ENSMPUG00000025117.1)". The record is from RNAcentral. Lineage: Eukaryota; Metazoa; Chordata; Mammalia; Carnivora; Mustelidae.